GACGAACGCUGGCGGCGUGCUUAACACAUGCAAGUCGAGCGGUAAGGCUCCUUCGGGAGUCCACGAGCGGCGAACGGGUGAGUAACACGUGAGUAAUCUGCCCUUCACUUCGGGAUAACCACCGGAAACGGUGGCUAAUACCGAAUACGACCAGUCUUCGCAUGAGGUGCUGGUGGAAAGUCUUUUCGGUGAAGGAUGUGCUCGCGGCCUAUCAGCUUGUUGGUGGGGUAAUGGCCUACCAAGGCUUCGACGGGUAGCCGGCCUGAGAGGGUGACCGGCCACACUGGGACUGAGACACGGCCCAGACUCCUACGGGAGGCAGCAGUGGGGAAUAUUGGACAAGGGGCGAAAGCCUGAUCCAGCAACGCCGCGUGAGGGAUGACGGCCUUCGGGUUGUAAACCUCUUUCAGUACCGACGAAGCGACCUGUCGGGUGGUGACGGUAGGUACAGAAGAAGGACCGGCCAACUACGUG
RNAcentral lists this ribosomal RNA (474 nucleotides) under uncultured bacterium. RNAcentral's name for it is "partial 16S ribosomal RNA". It matches the Rfam family "Bacterial small subunit ribosomal RNA", at positions 28 to 507 of the family's 1533-position model. The record is from RNAcentral.